RNAcentral lists this long non-coding RNA (363 nucleotides) under Dermacentor andersoni. Its description in RNAcentral is "uncharacterized LOC126534955". The record is from RNAcentral. Lineage: Eukaryota; Metazoa; Arthropoda; Arachnida; Ixodida; Ixodidae.
AGGGUUCAUGAUUUCUUAGAAGGACAGUUUUUUCCAACGCAAAUGGACCGCAUGGCUCUUCGUCAUGAAGGUGGCAGUUUCGUGGAGUCGGAGUAUAUGCUGUAUUACCACAAAAAUGGUGGCUGCGCCGUUAUUAGAGUGAAGACACAAAACAAAGAUGGACGUCCCAUUUACGACCUUCGAGUUAAGGAUUCCUACAUACGCCAAGGACCUAGUGCCAAAUGCGUUGUCGAAUUCGUAAAAUAUAGGAUCCAAGAACAGACUAUUUAUCAGAGGGAAUGCAAGGGCAGAUUUGCUGACAAUGGAAAGUGAUUCCCUGUAUGACUGAGGAAGAAGCCGUGAAUAUAAAUAUUUAACAAAGUG